Molecule: long non-coding RNA, 667 nt
Organism: Lates calcarifer (barramundi perch)
Lineage: Eukaryota; Metazoa; Chordata; Actinopteri; Centropomidae
Exons: 2
Source: RefSeq, a predicted model, not a curated record
UUUUACCGAGCUAACACAGGAGCUGCGGAGAUACUGUUCACUUUGUUUGUUUGUGUUACUGUGUGGUACUUUUACUUCAGUAAAGUAUCUGAUUACUUCUUCCACCACUGAAAGUCACACAGUAACACAGACACACUAACAGAUGGAGGCAGUGGUAUUCCAGCAGCUCCCAGUAAAAUCCCUGUUUUUCUCUAUGGAGUCUGGUAGUGACAUACAGCGAUGUUUCUGUCUAAACAAAAAGGAUCUUAUCAAGCGUUUACACCCAAAAACAUGGGAAAAUAAGACCCAUGUUGAAAAAACUACGGUUACACUUUAAGUUAUAUCACACACAAACACAUUAUACGAGGCUGCACCACAUAACUCUCACUGCAUUCUCAGUUAACAGGCUGAAAUCAAGUCUCUCAUUAUCACAAAUACACACAUAUGUACAUAUUUGUACACAAGGACACACUCUCUCUCUCCUCUGGCGUCAGGCCUCAUUUUGUGGCCGGCGGACAUCAUUAGUGGGGGAUUGUGGGAAGAAGAAGAGGGGAGAAGGAAGUUUUUCUUUUUUCUUUUUUUUUUUAAUGGAGUGACCACAGAGAGAGGGAGGGCUGGUAGAGAGACAAUGAAAAAGACAGAGAGAGAGAGGUUUAAUGUAAUGGAGAGAAGAUGAAGAAAAUAAAGA